ACCCUUAAGAAGCAAUAAUACAAUAGGCAGAGCCCAAAAGAAUUGAAAAUGAAGAACAAACACAGAGAAACGCUAUCGAUCUCUCUCUACUUGAAUUCAAUGAUUGGAGAAAGGCUCAUCUUCGUUUUGCUGCUUAUCUCCCAAAUGAUUUGCAGUGCUACGGAAACAAAUCAGUGUGCUCCGUCUUCAUGUGGCAAUAACCACAACAUUAGUUACCCUUUCCG
Molecule: unclassified non-coding RNA, 224 nt
Filed under: Hevea brasiliensis (rubber tree)
Lineage: Eukaryota; Viridiplantae; Streptophyta; Magnoliopsida; Malpighiales; Euphorbiaceae
Source: RNAcentral